Molecule: unclassified non-coding RNA, 292 nt
Filed under: uncultured fungus
Lineage: Eukaryota; Fungi
Description: sequence contains ITS1
Source: RNAcentral
GGACUACAAGGGUUUCUAAUCCCGUUUGCUACCUUAGCUUUCGUGCCUCAGCGUCAGAAGAGACCCAGUAAGCCGCUUUCGCCACCGGUGUUCCUCAAGAUAUCAACGCAUUUCACCGCUCCACCUUGAGUUCCGCUUACCUCUGUCUCCCUCGAGCACGGUAGUUUUGGAUGCAAUUCCUCGGUUGAGCCGAGGGCUUUCACACCCAACUUUCCGCGCAGCCUACGCACCCUUUAAGCCCAGUAAUUCCGAGUAACGUUUGUACGGUUCGUCUUACCGCGGCGGCUGGCAC